GCGGAAGUUACUCAGUGACACCGUGCGUGAUCGUUAGAAUAACGCGCGUGGACUCUUCAAAGGACUGCUAAGUCUUGCUAAAUAUAUCUCAUGGAAACUCAAGAUUUAGUUGCUGUCAGACCUUGAGGUUCAAUUCUAAAAAGGCACAUAUUCAAAGACAAGGGGAGUUUCUUUCUGGCUUAGAAACCUCCUGUCUCAGGCUCUGAAACCAUUUUAGCAGCGAGAUGACUCUGCAAGUUGGAACCAAAUAAAAGGGAGGUGACUCAUUCCGCUGUGAACUCACUGAAGUCGCCCACUAUAACCAGUAGGUGUGGGACGUAACUAAUACUCACCGUAUUCCUCGCUACUGUCAACGUUCGACAGGAAAGAAAAUCUCUCUUAAUUGGCCAUUCCAUUUUUUAAUUGGUUGAAGAUGUAAGAAAAGCUGUUAGAUGAGCUGUUGGGAAGAGCUCUAGUUAAGCUCUGCCUGGAACUAAGUCAUUGCAGACUGAAUCACAGGGGCAAAGCUCAGUCUUGGCCUUUGAGUCUUGAGCCUUCUGAGAUCAGUGCAUUUCAUCAGAGCUUUCCUUGGGGUGCAGGAAAGUGGCAGUCCGGACUCUCUUCUCUGGGGGGCUCCCAUGGCUGUGGGGUGCAGCGACCUGCUCAGGCAGUGACUCAGAUUGGCAGGGGGGGCCGAGGAGCACACAGCAGCACCAGCAGCUGAUGUUGAGAAAGCCCCAGCUCCUGCCUUUGACGUUUCUACCUAAUCUGUGCCUGCCUGUCUGCCCCCUGCGUGGCCUUCCUCUUGAUACCAAAGCAACACUGGACCGACUCUGAGCUGGCUGAGAGGGCGCUGCCCUCCUCUGCCUUCCUAGAACUACCGUCUCCCACCCUCACGUUCGCUGUGGCCGCACUGUGCACCUCCUCCUGGGACUCCUCUCUGAGGAACUCUCUCUCGUCCUCAUGCAGAGGGAGAAGCUGUGCAACCCUACUUUCUCUCUCCAGCCCUAGAGCGUCCUCACGCUACCCACAAACCCCUCAGCCAGCUUCCUCCGUCUCUCCCAGAUCCCUCCGCCCUUCCCUCCACUCUAGCCCACUCUCUGCGCCUCCCUGGCCGUGCUCGGCUUCCCGCGCUCUUCUCUCCACAGGGUCUCUCUUCCCCAAGCUUCCUAAUGUCUCCAGGCUGCUUUUUGCCCAUUUAUGAUACACCCUGAUUUUCUAUUACUUCUUUUCCUUCCAUGUUCCCAUAACACUUCAUUCAUGUUUCUAACAUAGCGCUCGUCACAACAUGUUGCCAAUGACGUGUCCGGAUCCUCCUGGUCCGGACUGAGGCCGCGUGGACCGCAGGGCCUGUCUUCACCAUUGACUCCCCAGCUCCAAGCACAGCCCUGGCAGACAUUAGGCUCUCCGUUUGUGGAAGGAAUGAAUAUUUCUGUUAUUUCAAAUCUUCAUUUGUUGAUCAAAUUUGCUCUAAUGUUUAUUUUCCCUUGAUUUCAUCUGUGUCUAAAGAUUCUGUUAACUUUUCAUCUUGAAGUACUUUCAGACUUAAAGAAAGUUGUAAAAAUAGUACCAAAAAAUCCACACACUCUUCAACCCAAUUCCCUUGUGUUAACAUUUUAUAUAAUCAUAGUACAACGACUCGAACCAGGAAAUAAACGUUGAUAUAAUGCAGUUAACUGUUCUACAGAUUUUAUUCAAAUUUUGUUAGUUGUCCUAUUAAUGACCUUUUUCUGAAGCAGGAU
This 1721-nucleotide long non-coding RNA is filed under the name Equus caballus (horse). RNAcentral's name for it is "lncRNA (ENSECAG00000029529.2)". Lineage: Eukaryota; Metazoa; Chordata; Mammalia; Perissodactyla; Equidae. The record is from RNAcentral.